This 785-nucleotide ribosomal RNA is filed under the name uncultured bacterium. Its description in RNAcentral is "bacterial SSU rRNA". It matches the Rfam family "Bacterial small subunit ribosomal RNA", at positions 57 to 873 of the family's 1533-position model. The record is from RNAcentral.
GCAGUCGAACGAUCGCAAGAUAGUGGCGCACGGGUGAGGAACACGUAGCUAACCUGCCUUUGGGUCUGGGAUAACGUCGCGAAAGCGACGCUAAGACCGGAUAAGCUCCCGGGUUGUAGAGACCAGAGAGAAAAGGGGCAAGACGCCUGAAGAGGGGGCUGCGGCGCAUCAGCUAGUUGGUGGGGUAAAGGCCUACCAAGGCAACGACGCGUAAGGGGUCUGAGAGGAUGAUCCCUCACACUGGGACUGAGACACGGCCCAGACUCCUACGGGAGGCAGCAGUGAGGAAUAUUGCACAAUGGGGGCAACCCUGAUGCAGCGACGCCGCGUGGGUGAUGACGGCCUUCGGGUUGUAAAGCCCUUUUGCCACUGACGAGAACGGACGGUAGGUGGCGAAUAAGCCUCGGCUAACUACGUGCCAGCAGCCGCGGUAAAACGUAGGAGGCGAGCGUUAUCCGGAGUUACUGGGCGUAAAGCGUGCGCAGGCGGUGCCAUAAGUCAGGUGUGAAAGGUUCCGGCUCAACCGGGAAAACGCGCUUGAGACUGUGGGACUAGAGUGGGAUAGAGGGACGUGGAAUUCCGGGUGGAGCGGUGAAAUGUGUAGAGAUCCGGAGGAACACCAGAGGCGCAAGCGGCGUCCUGGGUCCCAACUGACGCUGAGGCACGAAAGCUUGGGGAGCGAACGGGAUUAGAGACCCCGGUAGUCCAAGCCGUAAACGAUGCAGACUCGGUGUCCACUCUCGCAAGGGAGGGGGCGCCACAGCUAACGCGAUAAGUCUGCCGCC